UGCAUAUCAUAAGCGGAGGAAAAGAAACCAACCGGGAUUGCCUUAGUAACGGCGAGUGAAGCGGCAAAAGCUCAAAUUUGAAAUCUGGUACCUUCGGUGCCCGAGUUGUAAUUUGGAGAGGGCAACUUUGGGGCCGUUCCUUGUCUAUGUUCCUUGGAACAGGACGUCAUAGAGGGUGAGAAUCCCGUGUGGCGAGGAGUGCGGUUCUUUGUAAAGUGCCUUCGAAGAGUCGAGUUGUUUGGGAAUGCAGCUCUAAGUGGGUGGUAAAUUCCAUCUAAAGCUAAAUAUUGGCGAGAGACCGAUAGCGAACAAGUACAGUGAUGGAAAGAUGAAAAGAACUUUGAAAAGAGAGUGAAAAAGUACGUGAAAUUGUUGAAAGGGAAGGGCAUUUGAUCAGACAUGGUGUUUUGUGCCCUCUGCUCCUUGUGGGUAGGGGAAUCUCGCAUUUCACUGGGCCAGCAUCAGUUUUGGUGGCAGGAUAAAUCCAUAGGAAUGUAGCUUGCCUCGGUAAGUAUUAUAGCCUGUGGGAAUACUGCCAGCUGGGACUGAGGACUGCGACGUAAGUCAAG
This 569-nucleotide ribosomal RNA is filed under the name Saccharomyces cerevisiae (brewer's yeast). RNAcentral's name for it is "eukaryotic LSU rRNA". It matches the Rfam family "Eukaryotic large subunit ribosomal RNA", at positions 37 to 610 of the family's 3401-position model. The record is from RNAcentral. Lineage: Eukaryota; Fungi; Ascomycota; Saccharomycetes; Saccharomycetales; Saccharomycetaceae.